Long non-coding RNA from Passer domesticus (house sparrow), 2644 nucleotides. RefSeq lists it as uncharacterized. The record is from RefSeq and is a predicted model, not a curated record. The transcript has 3 exons. Lineage: Eukaryota; Metazoa; Chordata; Aves; Passeriformes; Passeridae.
CCUGUAAUAUCUACUUGUUCUCACACAGAACACUUGGCUGCAGGGACAUAUUCCCAUUGUUCCUGCCCAGGUUUCAGGAUUCAGUGUUGUCUUUCCUAGGAGCUGCUCCUUCAGCUGCCUCAGGAGGCCCUUUUGGUCUCCGGGCCCUCACUCUGGCUCCAUUGUUAGGACUGCUGGAUCCAAACCCUUUAUCUCCACAAAUGGUAAUGACUGGAGGUGCAUCUCCAUUAUUCAUAAUCGUGCUUAAAAUUGCAAUAUCAAUAAUUGUGCUACCCUGUCAUGGGGUUGAAUAACCCAAUCUUACUGACAAUUAUUUAACAGAAUUACUGUAAUUUCUCCUUUAUAUUCAGCAUCAAUUCCUCCUUUCCUCCUGCCAUGACAUGAACAUUUUGCAAGGCCAACCCCCACCGAGCAGUUACCAAACCAAAGUGUCCUGGAGGAAUCUGAAUUCCUGUCUCAGUACUGACAGCUUUCGUUUGCUUUGGAUUUAUCCUCAUUAAUUCCAAUGCAUGAAGGUCCAGCCCUGCAGUCUCUGGGCUGGCCCUGCCAGGGGCCAUCACACCCACAACAAUUUCCCAGGCAGUCCAAGUCUCACUGCCCAUGGUUGUAGUUGCAAAUUGGGUGCAGCUGUGCACAGCCAGGGGUUUCCAUUUCCCUAGUGGGCCAUUGUUAAGGACAUGGAGCACAACUGGAAGAUGGGUUCUCCAUGGGGACAGGUUCCCAUCUCCUAAUUUUUCCACUGCUCUUUUAACAACCCCUUCACCUGUUCAACAAAUCCUGCAGCUUGUGGAUAGUCUGGUUCAUGAAAAACCCUGCAGUCUUCAUCACAGUAUUUUUCACAGUAACAGACAAAGCAUUCUGCAUCACAGUAUCAGCAAACCCUGUAAAAUAGACAAUUUUAUCCCCUCCUCCUUUUUUCAUUGUAUACAAUCUCACAAAGUUUACCUCUGACAUUAGGGUCCUGGCCAAUCCUUUUCUGUAGAGUGUUUGAUGUUACAUCCCUGAGCAGCCAAAGCUACCAAAUUAGUAUUGUCAGCACUAUUUCACAUUAUUACUAUUUUAUACGUAGAUAUAGAUAUUGAUAUAGAAAUAUAGAUAUAGCUAGAUAGAUAUAGACAUACAUAUAAAUAUAUAUAUUAAGGCCUUAUUAUACUAUAAAUAUGUACAUAGUUAUUUAUGAUAUUAAUAUUUCACUUGCACAAAUGCAUGGGAGCUCAAGAUUAAAACCUUCUUCUGUUGCUCCAUGUGGGAGCAUUCCAACAAUAAUCGUUCCUUCUGAAGGUGCUAUUUCCAAUGUACUGUUAACAAAUUCAUCUUUGUCUGCCCAAACCCACAAGUUCUUUUCCUUUCCCAUAUGCAAUUUUUUGAUAACUUUUAAGACAUCCAGGGGUUCAGCUUCUUUUAACCAACUGCCCCACUGCUCACACAGUGCUGCGACCUCAGCCCACUCCAGAGCCAGCCAACUCCAGGGAAGGGCUUCCCAUCUGGGAAUUUCUGAUGCCACUGAUUCCUCACAUUUACAUUUAACAAGUGACAUUUUGCUGUGAUCUGGCCAGACUCUGCCAGUUUUGUUUAACCAGUGGGCAGGGUCAGCCUCAAAGACACAGACUCCAACUGAAGGAAUCAGUGUCAUUUACUGCAGCUCAAAGCAGCAAAGGAUCACAAAAGGUGCAGCUCAGCAAUGCACCCAAUCAUCACCACCAAAGAUUGCAGCAGUGAAUAAGAAAGAUCCAGCAUCAUUUACCCUCAGACUUCACCAUCCCCCAGAUCCACACAGCAGCAGGGGAAGCUGUCCCAGCCAAGGGCUGCAGAGCCACUCCUGGACACUGGGAAUUCCUGCAGGUGCCUCCAGCCACAGAGAAAUGGAUCAUACACCCUGUACAUAUUACCCAGUCACAGAAAGAGUCACUGCUAUAAUUAUUAGCUUUUCCCUGCGUGGAAACACGUUCCUAGGGCAUGCCUGGCUGAACCUCAUCAAGAAUUACAAUUUUAUCGGGCUGAGAUAAAGCUCAGUGGAAAUGCAGCCCUCGGUGAGCGUGGCAGGGAGCUCCAGGACAGGACACCUGGGCACCGGACCAUGAAAGCCUGAGAGGGAACAGCCAGCAAAUUACUGCCUCUGCAGGAAGUCUGGAAUGUUUCAUUCUAUUUCUUUCACAUAUUAAUGUUGCAUUGACAGCUGCUCAAGCUUAAAACAUCUUUAACUGAAAGGUUAAAUGAGAGACAUGGGAAGAUCCCAAAGAAAAGGUUCAUCUCUCUUUAUAGUUAUGUCAUAUGGAUUUGUGUUACCCAGUGGCAAGUCUUUCUAGAUGCAAUUUAUUCACAGUGAGUACUUGAAGCUUCUUGUAUCCCUUACUUCCUUUUAUUUGUGCAAGGCUGUUCAAUACAACAUCUGCAUCCAUGCUUCCUAAUAGCUUCAUCUGUGGAUCUCUGUAAGUGGGGUUUUUUUGCAUUGUAAGAUGUACACAAAAGGUUUGUUGUUGAUUACACAUAUAAUUUCUUACAAGUCAACACUGCUGUUGUAAAGAGGUUCUAUAGCAAAACAUAUUUUGAACUGUUUUUUUCAGGCACCAACUUUCCUUUCAGUUUAAGACAUGGUUUUAAUUAUAAAUAAAAUUAAAUUAAAUUUUGAUUAUAAUGUAUAAAA